This 253-nucleotide ribosomal RNA is filed under the name uncultured bacterium. Its description in RNAcentral is "partial 16S ribosomal RNA". It matches the Rfam family "Bacterial small subunit ribosomal RNA", at positions 524 to 776 of the family's 1533-position model. The record is from RNAcentral.
UACGGGGGGGGCGAGCGAUGUUCGGAAUUACUGGGCGUAAAGGGUUCGUAGGUGGCUUGCUAAGUCAGACGUGAAAUCCCUCGGCUCAACCGGGGAAUUGCGUCUGAAACUGGCGAGCUUGAGUGCAGGAGAGGAACGCGGAAUUCCAGGUGUAGCGGUGAAAUGCGUAGAUAUCUGGAGGAACACCGGUGGCGAAGGCGGCGUUCUGGACUGCAACUGACACUGAGGAAUGAAAGCCAGGGUAGCAAACGGG